RNAcentral lists this long non-coding RNA (1047 nucleotides) under Parus major (Great Tit). RNAcentral's name for it is "lncRNA (ENSPMJG00000019640.1)". The record is from RNAcentral. Lineage: Eukaryota; Metazoa; Chordata; Aves; Passeriformes; Paridae.
AUUUUUGAAAAGUUGCGUCCUUUGCUGGACAAAUUUGCCAGUGGAUAGCUCCCUUAAGCAAAGAAGUUACCCUGAAGGAGAUACUAUGGAUCUCCAGAGAUCAGUGGCUUUCUCUAUUUGCAUGAUAGUUAUUCUGUCCUUUUUGCCAUGGAACCAUAGAAGCAUAGAAUGCUUUUGCUUGGAAGGGACCUUAAAAAUCAUCCAGCUCCAACCCUUCUUCCACAGACAGGGACAUCUUCCACCAGGCCAGGCUACUCAGGGCCCCAUCCAGCCUGGCCUUGAACACUUCUAUGGAUGGGACAUCCACAGCUUCUCUGGACCCAGAGCGACUCAUCAACCUUUGAUUAAUGAAUUCCUUCCCAAUAUCUAACUGAAACUUACCCUCCUUCAGCUUAAACUGAUUGUCCUAUUAUCACAUGGCCUUGACAAAAGACCCUCUUCAUCUUUCUUGCAGGGUCCCUUCAGGUGUUGGAAGGUGCAAUAAGGUCUGCCCAGAGCCUUCUCCAGGCUGAAAAAUCUCAGCUCUCUCAGCCUUCUUCACAGGAGAGGUGUUCCAGAGCCCUGAUCAUCACCAUGGCCUCCUCUGGACAUGCUCCAACAGUUCUGAGUCUUUAUGUUGAGGACCCCAGAGCUGGAUGCAGUGCUGCAGGUGGGGUCUCACCAGAGCAGAUUAGAGGGGCAGAAUCACUUCCCUUGACCUGCUGUUCAUGCUGCUUUGGUUGCAGCCCAGGAUAUGGUUGGCUUUUGGGGCCAACCCAAUCUUACAGAGAAAUAAGGAAAAUGAGAUUCUGCAGUGGACCAGACUUCAGUGAUUUGUCUUUCAUGAGAGAUGGUCUUCCCAAAACCUCCAGUGCUUAAUCAGCCCUUUUGAUCUAAAAGGUGAAAAUAAUCUGAAGAAUACCACAGAGUACUGCCUGACAGACCUGCAUGAGAUAAGAGUAAAGGAUUAAAUCUAUGCUUGAGGCAAACUAUUUUGAUUUCUGUCUCACAUCAUGAUGACUUUGUGGCUUGAGAAAAAGAAAAACAGUGUGUGCAUGUUGUUACUGU